GGAAGGAUGGCAGAGUGGUCUAAUGCACCUGUCUUGAAAACAGGCGACCUGCGAGGGUCCGGGAGUUCGAAUCUCUCUCCUUCCGCCA
RNAcentral lists this transfer RNA (88 nucleotides) under Clostridia bacterium. RNAcentral's name for it is "tRNA-Ser". It matches the Rfam family "tRNA". From Rfam's summary of the family: Transfer RNA (tRNA) molecules are approximately 80 nucleotides in length. Lineage: Bacteria; Bacillati; Bacillota; Clostridia. RNAcentral also lists the same sequence under 1 other name. The record is from RNAcentral.